Molecule: non-coding RNA, 4181 nt
Organism: Zonotrichia albicollis (white-throated sparrow)
Lineage: Eukaryota; Metazoa; Chordata; Aves; Passeriformes; Passerellidae
Source: RefSeq, a predicted model, not a curated record
CCAAGUGUUAAAAGUUGUUUUAAAGAAGGUCUGAAAGGUUUGUGAAAAAGGUGCUUCAAAUCACACUGACCUUUUUUUCCAUGGAAGUUCAGAGUGUUCAAAACACUCAGUUCUUGAGGUAAAUUACUCUCCUGUAGUGUUUUGUUCAGUCUCGCAGAUUCGUAGUUCUGAUGUGGUGAGAAUUCCCAGUGCUGACUGGAAAUGGUGUCUUUUGUCCUGUUAAAAUUAGUAACUCGGUGCUAGGAACAUGGAUCACUGUGGGGUUUUGUUUUGCUUCACUGUCAAUAAAAGGUGUUCUACAGAUGCUGUUGGGAGUGCUCACAGGCAAUUCUUGCGUUUGUCCUAGGAAUGCUGGCACAACAUGUUCUUGGAAAACAGUCCGACCCUUUGUAAGCCUGGUGAGAAAAUCCAAUCUGUUCUUCCGAAACGAGCUCUGUCACAGUCUCUGCCAGUUCUGCUGCAGCUCCUCCUGGCAGUAAUUAGAUCAUUUGUCUCAUCUGGAGAGCUCAGCCUGCUGCACUUCACACAGUAGUGCUGAGUCCCAGAGCUCGUGUUUGAACAGAGCUGACCAAGUGUAAACCCGGAAGGGAUGUCAGGAUCCUUGUUCUGGGCUUCCUCCUUAGCCUUAAACGUUUCUAUUCCUUCAUGAACUUUCAGCCUUUACAAAUCUGCAGGGCACAACCAGGAGGGAGUGAAAGGCUGUGAGAAACCGUACACUUCAGGAAAUAUAAUUCCAGCUGAAAUUUGGAUAGCUGGGAGAGAGAGAAAGGAGUAGUGGCCUUCCUAAGAUCAACCAGCGGCUUGACAGCUCAGGAAUUCAGUUACAAAUGCUGCAGCAAGAAAGUGGGGAACUGCGAAGUUCAAGCGCCUUAAUGAAAUUUCAGAAUCAUGCAGCUGCCUAACACCUCUCCGGCCCUCUUGGAGGCAGACACACUCCUUCUGGAGCCAGCUACACAGAAGGUCUAAUCAAAUGGCUUAAUGGAUUCCCAUGGAGAGAAGGAAGUAGAUUACUGUAGACCACUGGACAGACAUGGCCUUACAGCACUUUCAGCAAUGUGGUAAGUGCUGAACACCAGCAUUUGCAUGAAGUCAGGUCUCAGGCUGUAAGCAUCAGCUCCAGUGUGGAACAUGGGAACCCCCUUGUCACAGAACAGAUCCCGUUGGAAGGGACCAGCACCCCCAGGUCCUGCUCUGCAGAGCUGCUCUGCAGCAGGCCAUCCCCAGCCUGUGCUGGUGCUGGGGUUGUUCCUCCACAGCUGCCAUUGUAGAAUUCCAGACUGUUCCUCUCUGCCCAUCACUGACCUGUUGAGAUCCAUCUAAAGGGCUGCCCAACAUCUAGGGGGUAUUGGCUUCUCCUCCCACUUCUGUCCAAAAGCUCUGUCUUGUGGGUUUGUGCAUAACAACCACCACUCCCAUUGCCAGCUGACAAUAAAAAAGAGGCUUUCAGAGAGACAAGGAAGAAUAAUUCUCACAUAUUACUUUUAAAAGGAACUGCUUCUCAACAACAAAAGAUUUUUACAUUACAUUGUCAGGAGAGAGGUUCUGCCUUUUUAGCAAAGGCUUUUUUAUUGCUCAAACAUGAAGAAGCAUUUAAUUACAGGACAUUACUAAAAUAACAUGUUAAGGAUGAAAUCCAGUUCUAUUCAUCCAAAAUCAAAAGAGGCCAUGUCAGGCUAAUAAGCUACUUCUUCCUAAUUGGGAACUUUUAUCUGGUGUUUUAAAAAAUUUAAGCUGAAAUUUGACUCUACAAAUGUAUACAUUCAAGCAUAAUCAUUCACUAUAAAACUGUUAAUUUGUUUGGAAACACAGUUAAUUCUGAUCUUAAAUUUACAUUUAAUGGGAAAAAAAAUCAAUGAAGUAAUUAAUUAUAGGGACACAUGUUUAUAUAGGACCUAUCCAGAUAGCUAACAGAUUUCUGCAGAGAGACACAGGAUCCUUUAAAUGAACAAUACAAUUAUGCAAAUUAAGUUAAUUUCCUGGUAUUUUCUGUGCAUUUCUUGGGUUGUUUUUUGUUUGUUUGGGGGAAGAGUGUCAUUUUGGGAAGUUUUUGUUUGGUUGUUUCAUUUAACUCUUGAUGCAAUCCCAAGAGCUGCAUGCUCUCUGAAGGGGGAUGUCAGAUCAAACCAAUGGUUUUUUUGACCCCUUAAGCAUCAAUGAUCAGCCAAUAGUCAAGGCAAGCUAAAUUAACUCUCUAAGUUAGCAGCUUUCUCCACCUCUGAAAAAGGUUUUGGACAUUUCUAAGUGUCUGAGGUCUGGUGAAGAGGGCAUAAAGAACCUACCUAGUCCAGAAAUCAAACAGGCUGCUCAAAACUCCACCAAAGCAGAAAAACAAUGGCAAGCUCUUAAUACUUAACCUUGUGUCACAGAAAAAGUGCUUCUUUAAUGGCUUUCCUUCUCCUGGAGUAAAAUUUACCAACAAAUUUUAGAAAGGCGAAUGGCUUCUGCUUUAGAGUUUUGUUUUUUUAACAGCUGAAAAGAAACCUAAGCAGUAACCUAUUGCGUGGUACAGAGAAACCUCUGCUAGAAGUAAUUUCUUUAUACUCAAGGCUACAAUGUUAUCCUUCGUUGCACGGAAACUGUCUGUUAUUAAACCUGAAAAACUUUCAUGCAGAAAACAAAGAAAGGCUGGGGGAGGAACACUAAUGUUUAAUUUUGGCUAUGGCUUUUGGCUUUCCUCUGAGAUGAAAACCAAAAUGUAUUUGGAGUCUUCUUCUUCUAUUGAAGCUGACAAAACACUUUGCAGACCUUGGCUUUUGGCAAAGGCAGCUGAGGGGAACAAUUUAGGUGUAGCGAGGAAAGUUAUCAAAAUAUGACAAUAGCUUGAAUAGUUUUAAAUGGUCAAGUUUAGUAAACAAUUUUAGCCUCUUUGACCAAGGCUAAAAUGAAUAAAUAACUGACUUCUUCUGUAAACAGUCCUACAUAAAGUAAUGCUAAAUUACAGCAAUGUUUCUGUAACAAGAUGGUUUAGGAGGGACAAAAAUCUGUAAGAGUUGGCAGCUACUGUACACAGCUUCCAAUUUUUCAGGAAAGCCAGCCAAGUUUUCCUCCCCUCAAUGCAGGGGAUUAAAGCAAUCAUGCUAGAAUACGAAUAGAAAUUAUCUUAGGGUUUCUAUGCUAAGCAGAAGCAAAACUAAGUAUUUGUUUCUGGUGGGAAAUGUCAAAUAUGGAAGUUUAAACUUUUUUUUUUCCUAAUUACUGAGCAGAUUCACAGUGAAUUUUAAAAAGGAUGCAUUGCAUUGUGCUAAAUAUAGAGGAAUUUUGAGAGGCACUUUAGAGAUUCAAGCUUACAGAUUAGUUUUCAAAUUCCAUAUGCUUUUCCCUCUUCCCACAUAUCUAACUUCUGCCCUUCUUUACUUUGAAAAGAAGAGGGAAAAGGUAUAUAUUAAUUCAGUAUGAGUGCUGAAAAGCCAUUUGCCAAAAUGGUAUAAGUGAAACCUUAGCUUGCUGCCCAGAGCAGCAGAACAUAUCUCCCCUGUGCUUGGCAUAACAUUUGAUGCACUCUUUUGGUAUGCAAAAAAUUCCUUUAUAUUGAUUAUCAUGAUAGAAAUGGGACUUUUAUUUUUCAGAAUCAGCACAGCACACUUUUUUUCAAAUUUCAGAACUAGAGAAUAAAUGUUAUUAUCCGCUUUUAGCUAAACUGCAAACUGAUACUAAAUGACUGCACUUCCAUUAAGAUAGAGGAAAAUGGACUGUUAUCAGCCUAGGAAAUAACAGCUUGUCUGUGUUUCCCUACCUAUAGCAAAAUGAAAAUAAAUACAGUGAGUGGGAUAGAGAUUGUGUAAAUUUUCCUCAUUACAACACUUUCCCUCUCUGCAAUGCAGCCAGAACAGCUGGGACUAAUCAAGGGUCUGAAUGUACCAACAUGGUCAUCCUAUCAUAUAAAGACUUUACAAGUCUGUAGUAAGCUCAACAUAUUUUUUUUUCUUACUCGUAGAUAUUAAAACUGGUUGUAUUGUUAAAUGUGGUAAAAAGGCAUACCAUGUGCCAUGAUCAGCACCGCAUUUUCUUCCCAAUGUUGGUCUAGAGUAAAUAAAAAGGAAAAAAGUUUAAUUUUUUACUCAUGCUGGGGAAAAAAGGAAGGGAUGGGUGCUUUUUUAUUCCAAUGCAAAUUCAUAAUGCAUUAUGACAAACUUGCAUAAAUAUAUUGAAAAUCUUUAUGCAGUCUGUUUAUAUUUCUGUUC